AGACCUAAGUAAAUAAUUAUGUGGAUAUUUAUCUAUAUCUUCAACUUGACUUAACUUUCUUCGUGAAGUGCACAGUUGACAUUUGAGCUUGAUUUGCUUUGCGGUUGGGCCAUUUAAUUGCAUUUGAGCCAGCACAACAAAUACGAUGGCAAUAUGGACAUGGACAUGGACAUGGACAUGGACAUGGAUAUGGAGAUGGACAUGGGCAGGAACAUGGCAAUCAGCGGCGACGGGGCUUAAAUCAAAUUUAAAGCUGUGCUGUGUCCUGAUAAAUUAUCCAUGCAUGCAUAUUACACGCGGAGGGGCCAGGCUUCUGCCACUGCAACUGCAUAUGGCAUAAUGCAUGCACACUUAAGGCCUCGAGAGUGCCAGCCAAAUGGCAUGACAGAGACGGAUGCGCAGCCAGAUAGCGCGGGCAACGGAGAUGGCACCACCAGAGAACCAGUACCAAAGUCAGAACCAUAGCCAUAACCAUAACCAAAAGCAGCAGCAGCAGGAGCAGGAGCAUGACCCUAACCAAAACUCCAAAAACCCAGCCCAACCCGACACAUCUCAUCUCAACUCAGAAAGCUUAGCAAAAUACUUUCAUAAUAAUCUUUAUGGCACAACGAGGAAAAUAGAAAAAAAGCAGUGGGCAAAACUGUUACCAAAAAAAAAAAAAAAAAUUUGAGCCAAACGGAAAACACACGGCUAAACGAAUUGCACAGGACGAAAAUUAAAUGCAAAAUAUUUACAUUUCUUAAG
Molecule: non-coding RNA, 744 nt
Organism: Drosophila melanogaster (fruit fly)
Lineage: Eukaryota; Metazoa; Arthropoda; Insecta; Diptera; Drosophilidae
Source: Ensembl